RNAcentral lists this ribosomal RNA (497 nucleotides) under uncultured bacterium. RNAcentral describes it as "partial 16S ribosomal RNA". It matches the Rfam family "Bacterial small subunit ribosomal RNA", at positions 28 to 507 of the family's 1533-position model. The record is from RNAcentral.
GAUGAACGCUGGCGGCGUGCCUAAUACAUGCAAGUCGAGCGAACAGACGAGGAGCUUGCUCCUCUCACGUUAGCGGCGGACGGGUGAGUAACACGUGGAUCACCUACCUAUAAGACUGGGAUAACUUCGGGAAACCGGAGCUAAUACCGGAUAAUAUAUUGAACCGCAUGGUUCAAUAGUGAAAGACGGUUUUGCUGUCACUUAUAGAUGGAUCCGCGCCGCAUUAGCUAGUUGGUAAGGUAACGGCUUAGCAAGGCAACGAUGCGUAGCCGACCUGAGAGGGUGAUCGGCCACACUAGAGCGGGGACACGGUCCAGACUCCUACGGGAGGCAGCAGUAGGGAAUCUUCCGCAGUGGGCGAGAGCCUGACGGAGCAACGCCGCGUGAGUGAUGAAGGUCUUCGGAUCGUAAAACUCUGUUAUUGGGGAAGAACAAAUGUGUAAGUAACUAUGCACGUCUUGACGGUACCUAAUCAGAAAGCCACGGCUAACUACGUG